AAUAUUAAAGAGUUAAAUGCACCGGCGGCCCUUGAAUUUGUGCCGAUGUGUUAUCUAGGUACACGAACUUUUGAAAUGCAUUUUUAGGUCCCCAAACUUGCUAAUCGUGCCAAAUAAAACUUGCUAAUCGUGCCAAAUAAGUCCAAAUCUUAGCAAUUUGCAUUAAAACGCCGAUUACACUAUAAUUAUCCCAUCUCUCUCUCUCUCCAUCUCUCUCUCUCCCGGACGCCAGCCGGUUCCUCCCCGCGCCGCCGGCUCCAGCGUCCCCGUCUCCAUCGCCGGCUCCCACCGCCCGCUCCAUCCCUCCCUACUUUGGCCCCCCUCUUGUCUUCCCAGUGGCACCCCUCCCCGGUCGCCUCCUCCCUUCCCACGCCAGCCGUCGCCCCCUCCCUUCCUUCCUGAGCAGAUCGCCACUCCUCCCUCUCCCCGCGCCGCCAACCACCGGUCCCUCACCCUGCACCGCCAGCCGCCCCAUGAGCCCCGGGUUCGCGCGGCCUCGUGGCCACCCUGCAGAGCGUCGUGCAACGCUUG
This 531-nucleotide long non-coding RNA is filed under the name Setaria viridis. RNAcentral's name for it is "long non-coding RNA (SVIR_LNC008703)". Lineage: Eukaryota; Viridiplantae; Streptophyta; Magnoliopsida; Poales; Poaceae. The record is from RNAcentral.